Molecule: long non-coding RNA, 240 nt
Filed under: Chinchilla lanigera (long-tailed chinchilla)
Lineage: Eukaryota; Metazoa; Chordata; Mammalia; Rodentia; Chinchillidae
Description: lncRNA (ENSCLAG00000028304.1)
Source: RNAcentral
GCUGUCUACGUGAGGGGAGCGGCUGCAUUUCCGGCUAGCAGUUCAGCAGUUCAACAUCAGUCUGCAGAACCGUACAUUUCAUCCAUCCCUGAGGAAGCUGGAGGGAGAGAGAGAGAGAGAUGGAAAAUCAGGCUCUUGCAGCUGGACCUCUGGGAGGCCUGAGGGCCAUGUGGGGAAGCAUGUAGUAUUUUUGUAUUAGUCAGCUCUGUUACAAAAUACCUGAAAUAAAUCAACUUAAAG